GGAGAGUUUGAUCCUGGCUCAGGAUGAACGUUGGCGGCGUGCCUAAUACAUGCAAGUCGAACGAAGAGCUUAAAGUAGCAAUACUUUGAUAACUCUUAGUGGCGAACGGGUGAGUAACGCGUUGGUGACCUACCCCAAAGAUAGGGAUAACAGUUCGAAAGGACUGCUAAUACCUAAUGUUAUCAUUUGGCUUAGAUGCCUUUUGAUUAAAGGAGCUUGCUCCACUUUGGGAGGGGCCUGCGUCCCAUCAGCUAGUUGGUAGGGUAAUGGCCUACCAAGGCUAUGACGGGUAGGGGACCUGAGAGGGUGGCCCCCCACAAUGGAACUGAAACACGGUCCAUACACCUACGGGUGGCAGCAGUAGGGAAUAUUGGUAAUCUGCGAAAGCGGGAACCAGCAACGCCGCGUGCGCGAAGAAGGCCUUCGGGUUGUAAAGCGCUUUUCGGGAGGAAGAGGAAGGACUGUACUCCCGGAAUAAGUCUCGGCUAACUACGU
RNAcentral lists this ribosomal RNA (495 nucleotides) under Anaerolineaceae bacterium. Its description in RNAcentral is "bacterial SSU rRNA". It matches the Rfam family "Bacterial small subunit ribosomal RNA", at positions 6 to 506 of the family's 1533-position model. The record is from RNAcentral. Lineage: Bacteria; Bacillati; Chloroflexota; Anaerolineae; Anaerolineales; Anaerolineaceae.